UUUUAUGGAGAGUUUGAUCCUGGCUCAGGAUAAACGCUGGCGGCGUGCCUAAUACAUGCAAGUCGAGCGAACGGACGAGAAGCUUGCUUCUCUGAUGUUAGCGGCGGACGGGUGAGUAACACGUGGAUAACCUACCUAUAAGACUGGGAUAACUUCGGGAAACCGGAGCUAAUACCGGAUAAUAUUUUGAACCGCAUGGUUCAAAAGUGAAAGACGGUCUUGCUGUCACUUAUAGAUGGAUCCGCGCUGCAUUAGCUAGUUGGUAAGGUAACGGCUUACCAAGGCAACGAUGCAUAGCCGACCUGAGAGGGUGAUCGGCCACACUGGAACUGAGACACGGUCCAGACUCCUACGGGAGGCAGCAGUAGGGAAUCUUCCGCAAUGGGCGAAAGCCUGACGGA
Molecule: ribosomal RNA, 401 nt
Filed under: Staphylococcus aureus
Lineage: Bacteria; Bacillati; Bacillota; Bacilli; Caryophanales; Staphylococcaceae
Description: bacterial SSU rRNA
Rfam family: Bacterial small subunit ribosomal RNA
Source: RNAcentral